AGUGAACGAUGAUAUUUGUAUUCAGAAAACAUAGCAUUUAAUACUUUUAAAAAUUUAAAGAGCAUAUCUAAAACGGAUUUUAAUAAAUCUAUUUCGAAAAAAAUCAAACCUAGAACUUUAGUUAAUUUUAGAAUAACAAAUUUAAUAUAUAAUUAAAAAAAAUUAUUCAUUAAGGGUAAAAACACUUUAGGCCACUCUAACUUAAACAUGAGUUUUUUUUUGUCAUCAACAAUACAGAUUUAUAUUGACUCUGUGAACCAAACCGGGUGAUCUGCAUCCAUGUGAACGACGAAAGACGGCUGUUUUCUAGCACUGCGUGCUAGACUAUCCGCCUUUGAAUUUUGCGUCUGUGGUACAUAGAUGAUCUCUGAUCGGGUGAAACUCUCUUUCAGGGUCUUGAUAUCUUCCAAAUAUGUUGCAAAAGCAGGUCAUUCUUCUGGUUCCGAAAUCAUCUUCACCAAUUGAGAACAAUCUGUUGCAAACGUAAUCUGAAAUUGACGUAAGUUCCUCAUGCAUUCCAUUGCCCAUAAACGUGCUUCCAUCUCCGCAUGAAGAGGCGAAAGACUAGCCCUUACAUUCUUCGCCCCCAGUAAUCCAUCGAAACCUUCCAAAGUAC
RNAcentral lists this long non-coding RNA (616 nucleotides) under Brassica napus (rape). RNAcentral describes it as "long non-coding RNA (BNAP_LNC009266)". The record is from RNAcentral. Lineage: Eukaryota; Viridiplantae; Streptophyta; Magnoliopsida; Brassicales; Brassicaceae.